CCUGGUCUAACAACCUUCUUCACUUCCUACAAUUUGUAUUGUACAUGUAUAUCAUGUUGGAAGGCAUAGAGAGUGAAAUCCCUAAUAAAUAAUGUUUGAGACUUUUAAAAUCAAUAAUGUUAUGUUUGGAUUGAGGGAUUUGAUCCUAUGAAUUUUGAUUUGAAUUAAAUAUUAUUUAAAUAUUGUAAAUAAAAUUAUUUGAAUUUGGUCUAAAGCCCAUGUAUUCACACAAAUUUAAACACAAAUUUAAAAGCUAAAGAUUUGAAAUAACAACUUUUACCUUAUUAUUUUAAAUCCAUUUUACUGCAAUCAAAUGUAUCAACUUUACAUAUGUCACAACUUUCCAUAAAAAUUCUUUUUAUUAAUCCAAAUUUCAAAUUUAAAUCCUAGAAUCCAAAGCUAAAUGUAUUAAUAACAAUCAUAAUACUAUGAUUGUUAUUAUAUAAUGUGUCUACACAUUUUUAAUGAAAAUAUAAUUUAUUAUCAAUGGGUGUGAUUUGCUAAUUAUAAACUUAAUUUGUAAUAAUGCCUACAGUUCAUAAACUGCAAAUUAAUUUAAUCAAAGGCUCGGCCAAUUAUUAGAUAUACUGAAAGCACUAAAAAAUAGUGCUCCAUCUCUCACAAAAAGGUGGGCUCUCCUUAUAAUAUGGAAAGUGAGUCCUACAUGAUUGUGAGAGAUGGUGCAUAUACACCAGGUGCACCUAAUAAUUUCUCCAAAGGCUCUUGUUAAUGAAGCCUCUCCUUAUAUGUGUGUGUGUGCGUGCGCGCGUUUCUAUCAUGGAAUUAAGGCACAAACAUGUGAGUUUCAUCUAUUUUAUAUAUAGGUUUUAUCAUAUAUGUUGUGCCUUAGUCUAUAAUGGAUCAGCUCUAUGCAUUUUCUCCGAGAAGUAAGAAUUAAUAACAAAUUACCUCAAACCACAGUAGCUCUUGUUGCAGUUGGAGAGCUGCUCCUGGUACAACAUUU
RNAcentral lists this unclassified non-coding RNA (964 nucleotides) under Hevea brasiliensis (rubber tree). Lineage: Eukaryota; Viridiplantae; Streptophyta; Magnoliopsida; Malpighiales; Euphorbiaceae. The record is from RNAcentral.